Molecule: ribosomal RNA, 253 nt
Filed under: uncultured bacterium
Lineage: Bacteria
Description: partial 16S ribosomal RNA
Rfam family: Bacterial small subunit ribosomal RNA
Source: RNAcentral
GACCGAAGGUGCAAGCGUUGCUCGGAAUCACUGGGCGUAAAGGGUGCGUAGGCGGCCGCGCAAGUCUGGCGUGAAAGCCCCGGGCUCAGCCCGGGAAGGGCGCUCGAAACGGCGCGGCUCGAGUGCCGGAGGGGAGAGUGGAAUUCCUGGUGUAGCGGUGAAAUGCGCAGAUAUCAGGAGGAACACCAAUUGCGAAGGCAGCUCGCUGGGACGUUACUGACGCUGAGACGCGAAAGCGUGGGGAGCAAACAGG